ACUCUGAAGAUUUGAGAGGUUCUUCCUUCAGAGAAGUGAUGUGGUUUGUAGCAGAAUGAAUUUCCUGGUUUUACUUUGGCCCUGACUAGAAAGGCUUUUCAUUUCCUGAGGAUGAUGAGUUCUAUUGAUUGGCAGAAAUGAAUUAAGAGCUUGAAGAUUGAAUUUGUGGAUGUGAAAAAUCAGAAAAAGAUGUAAAUGCUGUUUUCCUGAGGCCAAGGGAGCUCUGCAUCAAAGUGAAAAGCUACGGUAAAACCCUCUGCAAGCUCCUCUGGACAGCAGCAGCACCCUCAGCACUGCUCAGCACCAGCUGAAAAUGCUUAAAUGUGGAUUUUCAUCUUGGUUGUGAACGCUGAAACCUGAGAUGGUCAUGGAGAAUCCUGCCACGUGAUUAAUCAAUUCAGAGAGAGAAAAUUUGUGAAAUAAACCCCAACAGUGCCAUGUUCCUGUGCUGGGUACCCUACAGUGGGAGUGGAUGAUGGAGCCAAGGUAGAUACAACACCAGAGGAAGAGAGAAAAAACCCAACUCAUCUGCCAAAUAUAGGCAAGACAUCCCACAAAAUGCAUAGAAAUGAGGAUGAUUUUCCUGUGCUUGAUCAAAGAGUUGAAUUAAUUUGUGUCAGAAGUUGGAUUCCAGAAAGCACUUAUUAAAAGUGAGUCAGAAAUCAAUUCUGUUUGUUUUCCUCAAAUAUACUUUACAUAAAAGAAAUUUAAUUUUAGUGAAUU
Molecule: long non-coding RNA, 723 nt
Filed under: Zonotrichia albicollis (white-throated sparrow)
Lineage: Eukaryota; Metazoa; Chordata; Aves; Passeriformes; Passerellidae
Description: lncRNA (ENSZALG00000010475.1)
Source: RNAcentral